RNAcentral lists this unclassified non-coding RNA (358 nucleotides) under uncultured Actinomycetes bacterium. RNAcentral describes it as "uncultured actinobacterium contains 16S-23S intergenic spacer region". Lineage: Bacteria; Bacillati; Actinomycetota; Actinomycetes. The record is from RNAcentral.
UCCGAGUUGACCCCGGCAGUCUCCCACGAGUCCCCACCAUUACGUGCUGGCAACAUAGGAUAAGGGUUGCGCUCGUUGCGGGACUUAACCCAACAUCUCACGACACGAGCUGACGACAGCCAUGCACCACCUGCACACAGGCCACAAGGGAACUGACAUCUCUGCCGGAAUCCUGUGCAUGUCAAGCCCAGGUAAGGUUCUUCGCGUUGCAUCGAAUUAAAGAACAUGCUCCGCUGCUUGUGCGGGCCCCCGUCAAUUCUUUUGAGUUUUAGCCUUGCGGCCGUACUCCCCAGGCGGAACACUUAACGCGUUGGCUGCGGCACAGGAGGAAGGUGGGGAUGACGUUUCUAGGAGGGUG